Molecule: ribosomal RNA, 253 nt
Filed under: uncultured bacterium
Lineage: Bacteria
Description: partial 16S ribosomal RNA
Rfam family: Bacterial small subunit ribosomal RNA
Source: RNAcentral
UACGAAGGAGGCUAGCGUUGCUCGGAAUCACUGGGCGUAAAGGGUGCGUAGGCGGGUCUUUAAGUCAGGGGUGAAAUCCUGGAGCUCAACUCCAGAACUGCCUUUGAUACUGAAGAUCUUGAGUCCGGGAGAGGUGAGUGGAACUGCGAGUGUAGAGGUGAAAUUCGUAGAUAUUCGCAAGAACACCAGUGGCGAAGGCGGCUCACUGGCCCGGUACUGACGCUGAGGCACGAAAGCGUGGGGAGCAAACAGG